GAUGAACGCUAGCGGAGGCUUAACACAUGCAAGUCGAGGGGCAGCAUAGGGUAGCAAUACUCUGAUGGCGACCGGCAAACGGGUGAGUAACGCGUAUGCAACUACCCUGUACAGGGGGAUAACCCGGAGAAAUUCGGACUAAUAUCCCGUAAUAAUAUCCGGAGGCAUCUUUGGAUAUUUAAAGUUCCGACGGUACGGGAUGGGCAUGCGUAACAUUAGCUGGUUGGUAAGGUAACGGCUUACCAAGGCUAUGAUGUUUAGGGGUCCUGAGAGGGUGGUCCCCCACACUGGUACUGAGACACGGACCAGACUCCUACGGGAGGCAGCAGUGAGGAAUAUUGGUCAAUGGGCGCAAGCCUGAACCAGCCAUCCCGCGUGCAGGAAGACGGCCCUAUGGGUUGUAAACUGCUUUUCCAGGGAGAGAAACUUACGCACGUGUUGCGUGACUGACGGUACCCUGGGAAUAAGCAUCGGCUAACUCCGUG
This 485-nucleotide ribosomal RNA is filed under the name uncultured bacterium. Its description in RNAcentral is "bacterial SSU rRNA". It matches the Rfam family "Bacterial small subunit ribosomal RNA", at positions 28 to 507 of the family's 1533-position model. The record is from RNAcentral.